This 407-nucleotide ribosomal RNA is filed under the name uncultured bacterium. Its description in RNAcentral is "partial 16S ribosomal RNA". It matches the Rfam family "Bacterial small subunit ribosomal RNA", at positions 30 to 526 of the family's 1533-position model. The record is from RNAcentral.
AUUGAACGCUGGCGGCAGGCCUAACACAUGCAAGUCGAGCGGAGCGGCGGACGGGUGAGUAAUGCCUAGGAAUCUGCCUGGUAGUGGGGGAUAACGUCCGGAAACGGGCGCUAAUAUCGCAUACUAUCAGAUGAGCCUAGGUCGGAUUAGCUAGUUGGUGGGGUAAAGGCCUACCAAGGCGACGAUCCGUACCUGGUCUGAGAGGAUGAUCAGUCACACGGGAACUGAGACACGGUCCAGACUCCUACGGGAGGCAGCAGUGGGGAAUAUUGGACAAUGGGCGAAAGCCUGAUCGAGCAAUGCCGCGUGAGUGAAGAAGGUCUUCGGAUUGUAAAGCACUUUAAGUUGGGAAGCGUUACCUAAAGAAUAAGCACCGGCUAACUUCGUGCCAGCAGCCGCGGUAAUAC